This 447-nucleotide ribosomal RNA is filed under the name uncultured bacterium. RNAcentral describes it as "bacterial SSU rRNA". It matches the Rfam family "Bacterial small subunit ribosomal RNA", at positions 29 to 524 of the family's 1533-position model. The record is from RNAcentral.
AGCGAACGCUGGCGGCAGGCCUAACACAUGCAAGUCGAACGGAUCCUUCGGGAUUAGUGGCGGACGGGUGAGUAACACGUGGGAACGUGCCCUUUGGUUCGGAACAACUCAGGGAAACUUGAGCUAAUACCGGAUGUGCCCUUCGGGGAAGAUUAUCGCCAUUGGAGCGGCCCGCGUCUGAUUAGCUAGUUGGUGAGGUAAAGGCUCACCAAGGCGACGAUCAGUAGCUGGUCUGAGAGGAUGAUCAGCCACAUUGGGACUGAGACACGGCCCAAACUCCUACGGGAGGCAGCAGUGGGGAAUCUUGCGCAAUGGGCGAAAGCCUGACGCAGCCAUGCCGCGUGAAUGAUGAAGGUCUUAGGAUUGUAAAAUUCUUUCACCGGGGACGAUAAUGACGGUACCCGGAGAAGAAGCCCCGGCUAACUACGUGCCAGCAGCCGCGGUAAU